This 253-nucleotide ribosomal RNA is filed under the name uncultured bacterium. RNAcentral describes it as "partial 16S ribosomal RNA". It matches the Rfam family "Bacterial small subunit ribosomal RNA", at positions 524 to 776 of the family's 1533-position model. The record is from RNAcentral.
UACGUAGGUGACAAGCGUUGUUCGGAUUUACUGGGCGUAAAGAGCGCGCAGGCGGUCGAUCAAGUCGAGUGUGAAAGCCCCCGGCUCAACUGGGGAGGGUCAUUCGAUACUGAUCGACUCGAAGGCAGGAGAGGGUAGUGGAAUUCCCGGUGUAGUGGUGAAAUGCGUAGAUAUCGGGAGGAACACCAGUGGCGAAGGCGACUACCUGGCCUGUUCUUGACGCUGAGGCGCGAAAGCUAGGGGAGCAAACGGG